This 242-nucleotide ribosomal RNA is filed under the name uncultured bacterium. RNAcentral's name for it is "partial 16S ribosomal RNA". It matches the Rfam family "Bacterial small subunit ribosomal RNA", at positions 99 to 339 of the family's 1533-position model. The record is from RNAcentral.
CGGACGGGUGAGUAAUACAUAAGCAAUCUGCCCUUUAGUUGGGGAUAACCUUUGGAAACAGGGGCUAAUACCGAAUAGUCUCAUUUAAACGCAUGUUUUUAUGAGUAAAGGCUUCGGCCGCUAUUGGAGGAGCUUAUGCCUGAUUAGUUAGUUGGUAAGGUAACGGCUUACCAAGACUAUGAUCAGUAGCUGGUCUGAGAAGAUGGUCAGCCACACUGGGACUGAGACACGGCCCAGACUCC